RNAcentral lists this long non-coding RNA (321 nucleotides) under Gossypium barbadense (sea-island cotton). RNAcentral's name for it is "long non-coding RNA (GBAR_LNC014936)". Lineage: Eukaryota; Viridiplantae; Streptophyta; Magnoliopsida; Malvales; Malvaceae. The record is from RNAcentral.
AGACAUAAGGCAAUAUCCAAAAUUUGACCAAACCCAUUGCAUGGCUACAUGGUAUGUAUUCAUAGGCAUGGAGUAGAGCCCAUUUUAAGUUUCUCUCCCUCUUAAUAUGAUCAUGAAGGCGCACAUCAUAGUUAUUUAUACUUUUUGCCAGCAGAUUACGGAUACAUUGUGGUACUGAGGAAACCAUUGGAGGCCAAAAAUUUGCUUAGACCUUUUUAUAUUCUAAAACUGGAAAUUUAAGGAAUGGAGAAACAGAGACUUCGCUCAAGUGGUGUCCAUAGUUUUCCAUGGAAAAAACUAGGCCAUUCCUAUAAACCUGAA